CCCUGCUAGUUGUUGUUGCUCCCACCUGCCUUCACAACCCUACUGCCAAACUACCAUCCACAAUCACUAUUGUUGUCACUGUUCUUUGUCACCAUCAUUGUCCUCCAUUAUUGUUGUUAUUCUCUAUCUACUAUUACUAUUGCACUCUACUACAAAUCCUUGUUUUUGUAGAAAAAAAUAAAAAUCUCUCCAAAAUUUUUAAUAUUUUUAAUUUCAAGUUCAACUUUAUUGUUUUAUUUGACUUUACAUUUCAAGGUGCAUUUCACUCAACCUUUUUUACUUGAUCUUAUAU
Molecule: long non-coding RNA, 292 nt
Filed under: Physcomitrium patens
Lineage: Eukaryota; Viridiplantae; Streptophyta; Bryopsida; Funariales; Funariaceae
Description: long non-coding RNA (PPAT_LNC014581)
Source: RNAcentral